Molecule: transfer RNA, 72 nt
Filed under: Ornithorhynchus anatinus (platypus)
Lineage: Eukaryota; Metazoa; Chordata; Mammalia; Monotremata; Ornithorhynchidae
Rfam family: tRNA
About the family: Transfer RNA (tRNA) molecules are approximately 80 nucleotides in length. Their secondary structure includes four short double-helical elements and three loops (D, anti-codon, and T loops).
Source: Rfam by way of RNAcentral
AGCAGUGUGGCCUAGUGGGUAGCGCACGGGCCUGGGAGUCAGAGGACCCGGGUUCUCAUCCCGGCUCUGCCA